RNAcentral lists this ribosomal RNA (280 nucleotides) under uncultured bacterium. Its description in RNAcentral is "partial 16S ribosomal RNA". It matches the Rfam family "Bacterial small subunit ribosomal RNA", at positions 355 to 628 of the family's 1533-position model. The record is from RNAcentral.
UGGGGAAUAUUGCACAAUGGGCGCAAGCCUGAUGCAGCCAUGCCGCGUGUGUGAAGAAGGCCUUCGGGUUGUAAAGCACUUUCAGCGAGGAGGAAGGGUUCAGUGUUAAUAGCACUGUUCAUUGACGUUACUCGCAGAAGAAGCACCGGCUAACUCCGUGCCAGCAGCCGCGGUAAUACGGAGGGUGCAAGCGUUAAUCGGAAUUACUGGGCGUAAAGCGCACGCAGGCGGUUUGUUAAGUCAGAUGUGAAAUCCCCGCGCUUAACGUGGAACUGCAUUU